GAUGAAGAACGUAGCGAAAUGCGAUAAGUAAUGUGAAUUGCAGAAUUCAGUGAAUCAUCGAAUCUUUGAACGCACAUUGCGCCCCUUGGUAUUCCGAGGGGCAUGCCUGUUCGAGCGUCAUAUUAACCACUCCCGCUUGCGGGGUCUUGGGCUUCGCCUCCGGGCGGGCCUUAAAAUCAGUGGCGGUGCCGUCGGGCUCUACGCGUAGUAAAUUUUCUCGCGAUAGGGUCCCGGUGGAUGCUUGCCAACAACCCCCAACUUCUUAAGGUUGACCUCGGAUCAGGUAGGGAUACCCGCUUAACUUAAGCAUAUCAAUAAGCGGAGGA
This 326-nucleotide unclassified non-coding RNA is filed under the name soil metagenome. RNAcentral's name for it is "partial contains 5.8S ribosomal RNA, internal transcribed spacer 2, and large subunit ribosomal RNA". The stretch from base 1 to 120 matches the Rfam family "5.8S ribosomal RNA", at positions 35 to 154 of the family's 154-position model. The record is from RNAcentral.